Long non-coding RNA from Haliotis rubra (blacklip abalone), 117 nucleotides. RefSeq lists it as uncharacterized. Lineage: Eukaryota; Metazoa; Mollusca; Gastropoda; Lepetellida; Haliotidae. The transcript has 3 exons. The record is from RefSeq and is a predicted model, not a curated record.
AAAUCUGCCAACUUCAGCUGUCAAGCGUAUGAUAUUGAAAUGUAUUUUCAUGUGCUUUUGACCAUGAGGCCUUAUCACAGAAUAAACUUGUCACUCACUUUUGUGGGCAACCAUCCA